UUCUAUAAAACAAAAAGACUCUGGAAGAGACGUUGCUCAGUGAAGAGCUAGGAGGCUACCACAGCUUCUUGUUACCACAAAAUGCUGAGAUGUUCUAACUCCAGCUAAUCAGCACACUCACGGAAAGGAGUGAUGCUGUCUCCUUCCCAGAAGAUAUACCUUGAUGUUUCUUCUCUCUAAAGAACAGAUACAUCUUUGCCAUGUGUUGUCUGUGGAUGAAGGUGCGCUCCACUGAAGCAGUCCUUUCUGAGCUACUGACUGGAAAUUGAGUUUGGUGGCCACAUCCAAGAACUUGCCAUGCAUGUGGAUCACCAUUCCCGUGGGCAGAAGGUAGGUUAGUUUUCUUGGUUUUAUUAUUAUUUUCUUUCUUUC
RNAcentral lists this long non-coding RNA (372 nucleotides) under Anas platyrhynchos (mallard). RNAcentral describes it as "lncRNA (ENSAPLG00020013780.1)". Lineage: Eukaryota; Metazoa; Chordata; Aves; Anseriformes; Anatidae. The record is from RNAcentral.